Molecule: ribosomal RNA, 243 nt
Filed under: uncultured Actinomycetales bacterium
Lineage: Bacteria; Bacillati; Actinomycetota; Actinomycetes; Actinomycetales
Description: partial 16S ribosomal RNA
Rfam family: Bacterial small subunit ribosomal RNA
Source: RNAcentral
UACUCGAGUGGCGAACGGGUGAGUAACACGUGGGUUAUCUGCCCUGCACUUCGGGAUAAGCUUGGGAAACUGGGUCUAAUACCGGAUAGGACCGCACUUUAGUGUGUGUGGUGGAAAGUUUUUUCGGUGUAGGAUGAGCUCGCGGCCUAUCAGCUUGUUGGUGGGGUAAUGGCCUACCAAGGCGGCGACGGGUAGCCGGCCUGAGAGGGUGUACGGCCACAUUGGGACUGAGAUACGGCCCAG